RNAcentral lists this ribosomal RNA (846 nucleotides) under uncultured Gammaproteobacteria bacterium. RNAcentral's name for it is "bacterial SSU rRNA". It matches the Rfam family "Bacterial small subunit ribosomal RNA", at positions 72 to 914 of the family's 1533-position model. Lineage: Bacteria; Pseudomonadati; Pseudomonadota; Gammaproteobacteria. The record is from RNAcentral.
AAAGUUCUUCGGAAUGAGUAGAGCGGCGGACGGGUGAGUAACGCGUAGGAAUCUGUCCGGUAGUGGGGGAUAACGUUCCGAAAGGAACGCUAAUACCGCAUACGCCCCACGGGGGAAAGAGGGGGAUCUUCGGACCUCUCGCUAUCGGAGGAGCCUGCGUCGGAUUAGCUAGUUGGUAGGGUAAAAGCCUACCAAGGCGACGAUCCGUAGCUGGUCUGAGAGGAUGAUCAGCCACACCGGAACUGAGACACGGUCCGGACUCCUACGGGAGGCAGCAGUGGGGAAUAUUGCGCAAUGGGCGAAAGCCUGACGCAGCCAUGCCGCGUGUGUGUAGAAGGCCUUCGGGUUGUAAAGCACUUUCAGAGGGGAGGAAACGGUGCGGGCUAAUAUCCCGUGCACUUGACGCUACCCUCAGAAGAAGCACCGGCUAAUUCCGUGCCAGCAGCCGCGGUAAUACGGAAGGUGCAAGCGUUAAUCGGAAUUACUGGGCGUAAAGCGCGCGUAGGCGGCUUCGUAAGUCGGGUGUGAAAGCCCCGGGCUCAACCUGGGAACGGCACUCGAUACUGCGGAGCUCGAGUACGAGAGAGGGGGGUGGAAUUCCAGGUGUAGCGGUGAAAUGCGUAGAGAUCUGGAGGAACACCGGUGGCGAAGGCGGCCCCCUGGUUCGAUACUGACGCUGAGGUGCGAAAGCGUGGGGAGCAAACAGGAUUAGAUACCCUGGUAGUCCACGCCGUAAACGAUGUCUGCUAGCCGUUGGGGUCCUUGAGGCCUCGGUGGCGCAGCUAACGCGAUAAGCAGACCGCCUGGGGAGUACGGCCGCCAAGGUUAAAACUCAAAUGAAUUGAC